RNAcentral lists this small nucleolar RNA (49 nucleotides) under Pyrococcus abyssi GE5. RNAcentral describes it as "PABsR50". The record is from RNAcentral. Lineage: Archaea; Methanobacteriati; Methanobacteriota; Thermococci; Thermococcales; Thermococcaceae.
AUGAUGAGGCCUACCUCGCUGAGCUGUGAUGAGUGGGUGAGCUGGCUGA